RNAcentral lists this ribosomal RNA (454 nucleotides) under uncultured bacterium. RNAcentral describes it as "bacterial LSU rRNA". It matches the Rfam family "Bacterial large subunit ribosomal RNA", at positions 2182 to 2634 of the family's 2925-position model. The record is from RNAcentral.
GGAGCCAACGUUGAAAUACCACCCUGGUGUGUUUGAGGUUCUAACCUUGGCCCGUUAUCCGGGUUGGGGACAGUGUAUGGUAGGCAGUUUGACUGGGGCGGUCUCCUCCCAAAGCGUAACGGAGGAGUUCGAAGGUACGCUAGGCACGGUCGGAAAUCGUGCUGAUAGUGCAUAGGCAUAAGCGUGCUUGACUGCGAGACUGACAAGUCGAGCAGGUACGAAAGUAGGACUAAGUGAUCCGGUGGUUCUGUAUGGAAGGGCCAUCGCUCAACGGAUAAAAGGUACUCCGGGGAUAACAGGCUGAUACCGCCCAAGAGUUCACAUCGACGGCGGUGUUUGGCACCUCGAUGUCGGCUCAUCACAUCCUGGGGCUGUAGCCGGUCCCAAGGGUAUGGCUGUUCGCCAUUUAAAGUGGUACGUGAGCUGGGUUUAAAAACGUCGUGAGACAGUUUGG